UUGCAUAGCCUCAGAGAUCAUGAGCAUCUUGGUUCCCUUUGCCUUUGAGUGGGACUCCUUGUGAUUGGUUUGAGAUCAACAAGCAUGCUUGAAUUAUACAUCAUUGUUUCUCUUACUUUUGUUUACUAAAAAAAAAUUUAAAAUAAAUAAAUAAAUAAAUAAAUAAAUAAUAAAAAAAAAUAAUAAAAAAAAAUAUAACAAAAAAAAUUUUUGGACUUAGGCCUUU
This 226-nucleotide long non-coding RNA is filed under the name Lathyrus oleraceus (garden pea). RNAcentral describes it as "Pisum sativum (pea) long non-coding RNA (PSAT_LNC029943)". The record is from RNAcentral. Lineage: Eukaryota; Viridiplantae; Streptophyta; Magnoliopsida; Fabales; Fabaceae.